UACAGAGGGUGCGAGCGUUAAUCGGAAUUACUGGGCGUAAAGCGCACGUAGGUGGCGACGUAAGUCGGAUGUGAAAUCCCCAGGCUCAACCUGGGAACUGCAUCCGAUACUGGAUGGCUUGAAUUCGGGAGAGGGAUGCAGAAUUCCAGGUGUAGCGGUGAAAUGCGUAGAUAUCUGGAGGAACACCGGUGGCGAAGGCGGCAUCCUGGACCGGUAUUGACGCUGAGGCGCGAAAGCCAGGGGAGCAAACGGG
This 253-nucleotide ribosomal RNA is filed under the name uncultured bacterium. Its description in RNAcentral is "partial 16S ribosomal RNA". It matches the Rfam family "Bacterial small subunit ribosomal RNA", at positions 524 to 776 of the family's 1533-position model. The record is from RNAcentral.